This 1439-nucleotide long non-coding RNA is filed under the name Fukomys damarensis (Damara mole-rat). RNAcentral describes it as "lncRNA (ENSFDAG00000024659.1)". Lineage: Eukaryota; Metazoa; Chordata; Mammalia; Rodentia; Bathyergidae. The record is from RNAcentral.
GCUCAUCUGGCCUUCCAGAGGCCAACCCUACUCACUAAAUCAUGUGGUUCAGGGUGAUAUCUUAGUCUGCUGAAAGUGUCUAAGCUCAGGGGAGUCUCUCCUGAAAUAAACACUCCUCUUCAAAAAUAUGUUUUUGGCCUCUUCAAGGUACUUCCCUUCUUCAAAUGGGACAAUCUGAACAUCAGGAGAUUAGAGCACUGGUUUUAUCUGGGUGUGAGCAAGGCUGGACAGAAACUGGGCCCUGUUGCACAGUGAAUCCUAGUUCACUGGUAUGGACUAACUGAAGCUAAAUUAAUUAAUCUCAUUUUCAAGAUUUCAAGGCAGCAUGAUUUGAUUCUAUAUCUCUUCCUCCCAUGAAUUUUCUUGCUGCAUUUUGGAUAAAUAACACUCCCUAGGUUCUGCUCACAAUGGAAUCAUAGCAGAGUGUCAAAGGAAGAGAAUGAGCUCUUACAUCACUGGGAUUGUUCAACUGCCACUUACUCUUAUUUAGCAAGGAAGGAACUACAAUCUGCCUUUUUUUUUUCUUUUAGCCCCAAUUUCCCACUCAAUUCUUUCUAUGAUUACAAAUAUCUUUUAGUCUUUUUUCAUUACAGAGUUACCUACACAUUAAAAUGGUACCUACUUCAUCUUCCUGUCUUGUCUCUUCCUGUAACCCCUUCCAGAGACUUAAUUCAAGGAACGUUGCUAAGCAACAAUACAUCAUAGUAGCCAGUCACCAAUUACUAAUUGUCCUCAGCACUUUAGCCUCACAGUUCUGAACUGCCUGUGACAAUGGCAUGCACUUUGAUGGUCAAAAUCAUAUGUGGAGGCUUCUUAGCCCAGUGAAGAUCUAGGUAGUAAUAACAAUGUACUAUUAUCAUGGCAGUAACAAAGACUUCCAGGCUCACACCAAAUCAUUGCAUGCUUACAAGCCCCAUCAGCUUGGUACUGAUCUCUCCUUCCUGCUCAGGAAAUAAACUGGAGGAAAGAAUAACAUUGAAAAUGCAUGCUGUGGGACGGCAGAAAGGAUACAGGAUAUACUCGAUGCUCUUAACUAAAAGCCCUCCAGCAAGAAUGACCCAACCCCACAGAGUACAAUGCCACCAGACUAAUCUUCCUACAUUCCUACCAGCACUAAGUCAACCAUGGAAAUGUAAGCAGGCUCUCAGAACUCAGCCAUCUUCGGGCCUCCCACAUAUGCGUCUAUGUUUCCUGAACUUUCAUGUUCAACCAGGUAAGCCUGACACACUAAACUUAGGUUGUACUAUUUUAUUCCUGCCUUCAUUCUAUACUCUGUCUAACUGAAGUGAUCUUUCCCCAUCCAUAUCUUAACUAACUCAAAAAUCCAUCUUUUCCUUAAUAUUUUUACCUACAGAGUUUGAUGAAUCUACUACACACAGAAUUUAUUAACAAUGAAAUGAUUAACCAACCUGGAGUCUUCCAGCAUUUUCUCAGAAGUC